AUUAUAUAUACGUGCAACAAGUAUAUUGUAACCUGGUCAGAGUGGGAACACAGCAGCCACAUCAAUCACUACUUGUGUGCACCUUUUUUAUUUAUUA
This 97-nucleotide signal recognition particle RNA is filed under the name Bacillota bacterium. RNAcentral describes it as "signal recognition particle sRNA small type". It matches the Rfam family "Bacterial small signal recognition particle RNA". Rfam says of the family: The signal recognition particle (SRP) is a universally conserved ribonucleoprotein involved in the co-translational targeting of proteins to membranes. Lineage: Bacteria; Bacillati; Bacillota. The record is from RNAcentral.